RNAcentral lists this transfer RNA (86 nucleotides) under Lasius niger. It matches the Rfam family "tRNA". From Rfam's summary of the family: Transfer RNA (tRNA) molecules are approximately 80 nucleotides in length. Their secondary structure includes four short double-helical elements and three loops (D, anti-codon, and T loops). Further hydrogen bonds mediate the characteristic L-shaped molecular structure. tRNAs have two regions of fundamental functional importance: the anti-codon, which is responsible for specific mRNA codon recognition, and the 3' end, to which the tRNAs corresponding amino acid is attached (by aminoacyl-tRNA synthetases). tRNAs cope with the degeneracy of the genetic code in two manners: having more than one tRNA (with a specific anti-codon) for a particular amino acid; and 'wobble' base-pairing, i.e. permitting non-standard base-pairing at the 3rd anti-codon position. The record is from Rfam by way of RNAcentral. RNAcentral also lists the same sequence under 2 other names. Lineage: Eukaryota; Metazoa; Arthropoda; Insecta; Hymenoptera; Formicidae.
GCAGAUGUGCCGGAAUUUAGGGAGACGGGGUGGCCUUAGGAGCCAAAGAGUUAAUACUCGUAAAGGUUCGAGUCCUUUUAUCUGUA